Molecule: unclassified non-coding RNA, 17 nt
Filed under: Rotavirus A
Lineage: Riboviria; Orthornavirae; Duplornaviricota; Resentoviricetes; Reovirales; Sedoreoviridae
Description: RNA (5'-R(P*AP*UP*AP*UP*AP*UP*AP*UP*AP*UP*AP*UP*AP*UP*AP*UP*A)-3') from Rotavirus A (PDB 6OGZ, chain C)
Source: RNAcentral
AUAUAUAUAUAUAUAUA